GAUGAACGCUGGCGGCGUGCCUAAUACAUGCAAGUCGAGCGAACGGACGAGAAGCUUGCUUCUCUGAUGUUAGCGGCGGACGGGUGAGUAACACGUGGAUAACCUACCUAUAAGACUUGGAUAACUUCGGGAAACCGGAUCUACUACCGGCUAAUAUUUUGAACCGCAUGGUUCAAAAGUGAAAGACGGUCUUGCUGUCACUUAUAGAUGGAUCCGCGCUGCAUUAGCUAGUUGGUAAGGUAACGGCUUACCAAGGCAACGAUGCAUAGCCGACCUGAGAGGGUGAUCAGCCACACUGGAACUGAGACACGGUCCAGACUCCUACGGGAGGCAGCAGUAGGGAAUAUUCCGCAAUGGGCGAAAGCCUGAAGGAGCAACGCCGCGUGAGUGAAGAAGGUCUUCGGAUCGUAAAACUCUGUUAUUAGGGAAGAAAAUAUGUGGAAGUAAAUGUGCACAUCUUGACGGUACCUAAUCAGAAAGCAACGGCUAACUACGUG
RNAcentral lists this ribosomal RNA (497 nucleotides) under uncultured bacterium. Its description in RNAcentral is "partial 16S ribosomal RNA". It matches the Rfam family "Bacterial small subunit ribosomal RNA", at positions 28 to 507 of the family's 1533-position model. The record is from RNAcentral.